GUCUGUGUGUGUGUAUGUGUCAGUAUGUCUGUGUGUGUGUGUAUGUCAGUGUGUCUGUGUGUGUAUGUCAGUAUGCCUGUCAUAGACACACACAGACAUACUGACAUACAUACACAAACAGACAUACUGACACAGACAUA
This 140-nucleotide microRNA precursor is filed under the name Pelobates cultripes (western spadefoot toad). The record is from RNAcentral. Lineage: Eukaryota; Metazoa; Chordata; Amphibia; Anura; Pelobatidae.